Long non-coding RNA from Scylla paramamosain (green mud crab), 1162 nucleotides. RefSeq lists it as uncharacterized. The record is from RefSeq and is a predicted model, not a curated record. The transcript is spliced from 5 exons. NCBI's taxonomy places the organism in Eukaryota, Metazoa, Arthropoda, Malacostraca, Decapoda, Portunidae.
CUGGAAUGGCGUUAACUUGCAUCAGAUGCUACAGCUAUGGUCAGAAUAAUGAAAAUGUUCAAAUAUCCUCUGCUCGUGGGCAUGGUCGCUUGUAUGGAAAUAGUCCUUUGCGCUGCAGUCAUUUCAUUGCAACAUAAUGACAGUCUCAGUGUAUCAACUGCUGUGUCCCAAGUACUGAAUCACCAGUUAGCAUUAGAGAAGUCCAUGUGUUCACUUUAUAUAUUCAUAAAAGAUAUGGAUGGACAAGAUAUUACAGAUGAGGUAGCACUCAACUUGCAUGUCGGUCACGUCCACAGACAGAGUAGCAGCUUCCACAAGCACAGCAUGGAGGGACAACCUUGGAGUCAUCCACCUUUGGUCCUCGCCCUACACAUCUCAAAGGCUGCUCACAACAGGCAAGCAACUCGGUGCAGUCUGAAGAACUACAGCCCAGCAAGAGCAACAAAAAACAGCUGCCUCCUUUGCAGCUCAAGAACUUCAGUUCCUGAACUUUGUUAAAAGGAUAACUUUCCUUAAUGCUACAUUAAAAGAACAAUGAGCAACUGUAACAAAAUAAAGAUUUAUUUUACUUGCUACAAAUGUGAAAUAUCUGGACAUAAUAUCAUCAUUACAAAAGGAAUUAAAGGAGGUUAAAAAUAACAAGCAUACAAUUGAUUCCAAUACUUUGAACAGAUAUUUCUCACAACCACAAAUUGAUGCCCUUUUAACAUCAAAACUUGUAAAAUGCUGGCAAAUUGAUGUCAUCGAGAAAACUGUUACACUGCGGACUUCAAGUCCGAAGGCGUAUCGCUUUCUUCGAAAGAAAUGGCUGCCUCUUUUGUCCUCCCCCAGCAACAGUCAGUCGAUGGGUUUCAAAACUUUAUGUGGAGCCAUGUGUAUUGCAUACUGUCGUCAGCCUCCUUGACCUCAUAAGGAACAACUUUUUAGAUCAUGGGUUCAGUUUACAUAGUAAUUCUCAAAAAAAAAAAAAAACUGUCACGAAUGGCAGUGUGCGAUAAAUUAUUAUGAGAAAAGGUCGUGAUCAACAAAUCAUCAAUUGUCUUAUAAUCAUAUAGAUGUUCGAGGUUCAAAGAGAAUGAGCGUUCGUCGUGCUGCACAGCUUUCGCCAGAAACCACUGCAAAAUUAGUUAAAUUCUUUAGAGAACAAGGAGUGUUGACGAGG